Long non-coding RNA from Heterocephalus glaber (naked mole-rat), 1086 nucleotides. NCBI's taxonomy places the organism in Eukaryota, Metazoa, Chordata, Mammalia, Rodentia, Bathyergidae. The record is from Ensembl.
UCUGUUGUAGCACAUAUAAAUGCAAUUUCCAGGCACUGACUAUAACUUUUGAGAGGACUUUUUCCUCAGCCAAAAAAAAAAAAAAAAAUACUGCUUUUGUAUUUGUCAAAUGUUUUACAUGAUGAGGACAAUGUAGUGGUGAUUAUUGCUUGGAGAGGUUAUUGUUUGUUUUGGGGGGUUUUUGUUUGUUGAAACAAUGUCUCAUUAUGUAGUUCAGGCUGACCUUGAACUUCUGGCAAUCCUUCUCCCUCAGCCUCUCAAGUGCUGGUAUUACAGGCGUGCACUACCACACCCAACUGUAGAGCCGGGACCCAUGUACACUCCAACCAAGUCGGAGGACAAAGGCCCCAGCUGAAAUGAGGACUGCAUAUUUAAAGGGAAAAACCACAGAAGAAGUCUCUCCUCCCAUUCCCCUGGGUUACGGAUUGUUGCAGAAGCUGGUUACAGAAGCCAGGAUAAGCACACUCAUUGGCUUGCUGCCUUCUCCCUGCCCUUCUUUUCCAUUAAGUGUUUCUCCUCUGUGAUGCCCCUCUGCCAUGCCACCUUGCCUUGGAGUCAACCAUGAACUGAAACCUCUACAAACUGAACACCUAUAGAAGCUAAAUCAUCAUCUCAGAGGUACUUGAAAUUAAACUCAACAUGAUGAGAAUACACUAAGAGAGGCUGAAGGACACAUUUUUGAAAGGGCUAGUGGAACUGGGAAUCAAAGACUUCUUAUGGCUAUGAGUUAUAGGCAUAGUCAAAGACUGCUAAUAGGCUACUGCAGCAUUGAGGGAAGAGACUACAGAUGGCUAACUACCAAAGCCUUCAGAAGCAAAGAAAAUGUAUUCAGAGACAAAGGGGAAAAGUUUUGAGCAUCAGUCACCUGCACAUCAACCCUACCAAAGCUACAAGUCUACCAGAUGGUACCACCCACACCCAGGGAGGGUCUUCCCUCUUCAGUAAAUCCAUCCUCUGAACCCAGAACUGUGAUAAACUAAUCAGUGGACAAGGCAGUUAUCACACCCAUGAUCUAGUUCCUCCCAAAAGCCCCACCUAUGAGCUCUUGAGGCUGUGGGAGUCACCUAGAUACAAACUGUAGCACUU